GCACUAGUAGCUCAGUACUAAGAGCGUCA
This 29-nucleotide transfer RNA is filed under the name Pamphorichthys hasemani. RNAcentral's name for it is "partial tRNA-Thr". Lineage: Eukaryota; Metazoa; Chordata; Actinopteri; Cyprinodontiformes; Poeciliidae. The record is from RNAcentral.